Molecule: long non-coding RNA, 1073 nt
Organism: Spinacia oleracea (spinach)
Lineage: Eukaryota; Viridiplantae; Streptophyta; Magnoliopsida; Caryophyllales; Amaranthaceae
Exons: 4
Source: RefSeq, a predicted model, not a curated record
AGGAAAUUUCGCCCAAAUAUUUGGCCAAAUAUUUCGCCCUAAAUAUCCCGCCUAAUUCUCUUAUCCCUGCUCCCACGAUUGUCAGAUUCCUUACACAACCGACUCAACCUAACACUCCCAAAAAUCAACUGCUCGGUGUUCACUGAAACUUCAAAACAUAAACCCCUAAAUCCCCAAAUGCGUUUUCCAGGAGCCAGUGUUCUUCGUUUUCCCUAAAAUCCCAAAUUCGUUUUCCCUAAAAAAUAAAUCAAUAGAUGCUUAGAUAUUUCGUUGCUCUUGAUUCUCUCCCAAAUUUCUUCAUAGAUUAUCCUAAUUUAGUCGAAAAUGAUUGAAUUUCUCAACUUGUUUAUGCUUAGUUCGUAGCCUUGGGGGAUUUGUUCGAAAAAAACCCGACUUUUGCUGAGAUUUGUUUGAGAGAAGAACGAUUUCUGCUGAGAUUUGUUCGAGAGGAGACCGAUUUCUGCUUACUGGUCUUGAUGGUCGUUGGAGCUGGACGGGGGCCUCUUGUCAGAGCAUCUUUAGAGGUUGGUCCAGAUAUGUAUCUGUGCGAAUUCGCUGCCCGCUCGUACUGCUUGUCUUUUCUUGUGUUGCUGGAAGAAUGAGCUCUUGGUUAGGUAAUAUCCUCUUAUCCAAAGGCCCGAAAACAAGAUAAACCUCUUUGAAAGGGAUUCUUUAUUUCACUAAAAAAUUAUGAAAGAAAGGGGAUUUGCCACUGCAGGGACAUUAUAGCAGUCAUUUAUCAAAAAAUAACUUGCCGGUUCUGUUGAGCUAGUAACCCCAGAUUAUUGACGAUUAAGUGGUAAUAGUAAAUGUAGAUCAAGAGAUGAACAAGUUAUCUUGAAGCUAAGCUAGCAUAAAGAUAGGUUUACUAUAAUUAGUUUGUUCGUAGUCAGGAAGUUGUUUUUAUUUAGUUUUGGACUAUCUUGUAGAAAAAAUGAUGCUAGUUAGAAAGUUAUUUUUGUUUUAAAACUCUGCGAAUUAAUUUAAUGUAUAAAUUGUUAUCAUUUUUUCUAAAUUAACUAUGUUAUCGCUAAGUAUAUAUGAAUCAAAGUAUAGUAUGACGUGGUUAUAUA